GACGAACGCUGGCGGCGUGCCUAAUACAUGCAAGUCGAACGCUUCUUUCCUCCCGAGUGCUUGCACUCAAUUGGAAAGAGGAGUGGCGGACGGGUGAGUAACACGUGGGUAACCUACCCAUCAGAGGGGGAUAACACUUGGAAACAGGUGCUAAUACCGCAUAACAGUUUAUGCCGCAUGGCAUAAGAGUGAAAGGCGCUUUCGGGUGUCGCUGAUGGAUGGACCCGCGGUGCAUUAGCUAGUUGGUGAGGUAACGGCUCACCAAGGCCACGAUGCAUAGCCGACCUGAGAGGGUGAUCGGCCACACUGGGACUGAGACACGGCCCAGACUCCUACGGGAGGCAGCGGUAGGGAAUCUUCGGCAAUGGACGAAAGUCUGACCGAGCAACGCCGCGUGAGUGAAGAAGGUUUUCGGAUCGUAAAACUCUGUUGUUAGAGAAGAACAAGGACGUUAGUAACUGAACGUCCCCUGACGGUAUCUAACCAGAAAGCCACGGCUAACUACGUG
This 508-nucleotide ribosomal RNA is filed under the name uncultured bacterium. RNAcentral describes it as "partial 16S ribosomal RNA". It matches the Rfam family "Bacterial small subunit ribosomal RNA", at positions 28 to 507 of the family's 1533-position model. The record is from RNAcentral.